AACGAACGCUGGCGGCAUGCCUAACACAUGCAAGUCGAACGAUUGCCUUCGGGUGAUAGUGGCGCACGGGUGCGUAACGCGUGGGAAUCUGCCCUUAGGUUCGGAAUAACAGCUGGAAACGGCUGCUAAUACCGGAUGAUAUCGCGAGAUCAAAGAUUUAUCGCCUGAGGAUGAGCCCGCGUUGGAUUAGGUAGUUGGUGGGGUAAAGGCCUACCAAGCCGACGAUCCAUAGCUGGUCUGAGAGGAUGAUCAGCCACACUGGGACUGAGACACGGCCCAGACUCCUACGGGAGGCAGCAGUGGGGAAUAUUGGACAAUGGGUGCAAGCCUGAUCCAGCAAUGCCGCGUGAGUGAUGAAGGCCCUAGGGUUGUAAAGCUCUUUUACCCGGGAAGAUAAUGACUGUACCGGGAGAAUAAGCCCCGGCUAACUCCGUG
RNAcentral lists this ribosomal RNA (435 nucleotides) under uncultured bacterium. RNAcentral describes it as "partial 16S ribosomal RNA". It matches the Rfam family "Bacterial small subunit ribosomal RNA", at positions 29 to 507 of the family's 1533-position model. The record is from RNAcentral.